AACGAACGCUGGCGGCAGGCUUAACACAUGCAAGUCGAACGGGCGUAGCAAUACGUCAGUGGCAGACGGGUGAGUAACACGUGGGAACCUUCCUAGGGGUACGGAACAACUCAGGGAAACUUGAGCUAAUACCGUAUACGUCCGUGAGGAGAAAGAUUUAUCGCCCUUAGACGGGCCCGCGUCGGAUUAGGUAGUUGGUGGGUAACGGCCUACCAAGCCUACGAUCCGUAGCUGAUCUGAGAGGAUGANCAGCCACACUGGGACUGAGACACGGCCCAGACUCCUACGGGAGGCAGCAGUGGGGAAUCUUGGACAAUGGGCGCAAGCCUGAUCCAGCCAUGCCGCGUGAGUGAAGAAGGCCUUAGGGUUGUAAAGCUCUUUUACCAGGGACGAUAAUGACGGUACCUGGAGAAUAAAGCCCCGGCAAACUUCGUGCCAGCCGCCGCUGUAAG
Molecule: ribosomal RNA, 452 nt
Filed under: uncultured bacterium
Lineage: Bacteria
Description: bacterial SSU rRNA
Rfam family: Bacterial small subunit ribosomal RNA
Source: RNAcentral